UGAUUCCCCUAGUAACGGCGAGUGAACAGGGAAAAGCUCAAAGUUGGAACCUCCUGGCCCUAGGCCUGGCGGAUUGUAAACUAAAGCUUUCGAGUAGCUCGGCUAGCCCGGUAAAUAAGUUCUCUGGAAAGGGACGACAUGGAGGGCGAAAUCCCCGUCUUUGGCCGGAGCAUAGUCCAGCGUUUGCUUGGAAGUGAAGAGUCAGGUUGUUUGGUAUUGCAGCCUAAAGCUGGAGGUAAAUCUCUCCUAAAGCUAAAUAUUGACGAAAGACCGAUAGCGAACAAGUACCGUGAGGGAAAGAUGAAAAGCACUUUGGAAAGAGGGUCAAAAAGUACGUGAAAUUGCUGAAAGGGAACCGUAUGAAAUCAGCUUGACUUUUUGGUAAUCAACCUGGGCUUCGGCCUGGGUGCACUUGCCAGUGAGUUAGCCUGCGACAAUUUGAUUUGGGGGAAGAAAUUAGAGAGAAUGUGGCCUUGACUUCGUGUGAAGGUGUUAUAGCUCUUUGAAAAAUACCCUGGAUUGGAUUGAGGACUGCAGCGAGCCUUUUGGGAUGAACUGUGGGCGCUUGGUUACCUAUCAAAGAAAAUCUCUGCUUCGGGUGGUGUUUUUUGAUAGGCGGCCAACUCGCUUACUUUUUCUUUUUCUUGCUUAGGUCGCAGGCAUAAUGAUUUUAUAUGACC
This 680-nucleotide ribosomal RNA is filed under the name Absidia heterospora. RNAcentral's name for it is "LSU rRNA". It matches the Rfam family "Eukaryotic large subunit ribosomal RNA", at positions 72 to 649 of the family's 3401-position model. Lineage: Eukaryota; Fungi; Mucoromycota; Mucoromycetes; Mucorales; Cunninghamellaceae. The record is from RNAcentral.